This 103-nucleotide microRNA precursor is filed under the name Marmota monax (woodchuck). The record is from RNAcentral. Lineage: Eukaryota; Metazoa; Chordata; Mammalia; Rodentia; Sciuridae.
AGUGGGAUGGCUGGGUCAAAUGGUGGUUCUGUUCCAAGUUUUCCAAGGAAUCUCCAUACUGCUUUCCAGAAUGAUUGCACCAAUUUGCAGUCUUAUCAGCAAU